UAAUACUAAUUAUUAUAUAUCUACUUUUUUUCACUAAUUCUUUUGAGGAUAAGCUCAAAGAGAAAGUUAAGAUAUUUAUGAUUAUAAGCCGCUGUGUGGGCUUAAAAUUGGCCACCACAAAAGUUUGUUAUAAAAUAACGGUUUCAACUCAAAAAAUAAAUAUAUUUUAAUCUAACUUCUUACGGAAAUAAAAUCUUUAACUAAAGCAAGUUUUAUACCUAUGCUAGGAUGAGUAUUAUAAACUAAUAUUAAACAUGAAAAUAUUUUCUUCAAUAAAGAUUAUUCAAACAAACUAAUUAAUCAAAAGGAACUCGGCAAAAUUAGUUGCUUCGCCUGUUUAUCAAAAACAUGGCUCUCUGCUUAUGUAAAUAUAGAGAGUCGAGCCUGCCCAGUGAAUUUUCAACGGCCGCGGUACUCUGACCGUGCAAAGGUAGCAUAAUCAUUUGCCUUAUAAUUGAAGGCUAGUAUGAAUGGUUUGACGAGAGCAACGCUGUCUCUUUUUUAUUUUCAAGAACUUAACUUUUAGGUGAAGAGGCCUAAAUUUUAUUGAAGGACAAGAAGACCCUGUCGAGCUUAAAAGAUAUUAUAGAAGUGUAUAUAUUUUUAAAUAAAUUUUCUAUUCAGCUUUUUAGUUGG
Molecule: ribosomal RNA, 636 nt
Filed under: Hua bailleti
Lineage: Eukaryota; Metazoa; Mollusca; Gastropoda; Semisulcospiridae
Description: partial 16S large subunit ribosomal RNA
Rfam family: Archaeal large subunit ribosomal RNA (bases 289-540)
Source: RNAcentral